GACGAACGCUGGCGGCGUGCUUAACACAUGCAAGUCGAACGAUGAAGAAAAGAAUCGCAGCUUCGGCAGAAAUUCAUUUCGGAUUAGUGGCAGACGGGUGAGUAACGCGUGAGCAACCUACCUCUUGCAAAGGGAUAGCCUCGGGAAACCGGGAUUAAUACCAUAUAACAUUGCGACGAAGCAUUUCGAUGCAAUCAAAGCUACGGCGGUAAGAGAUGGGCUCGCGUCCCAUUAACCGGAUGGUGAGGUAACGGCUCACCAUAGUGACGAUGGGUAACCGGCCUGAGAGGGUGAACGGUCACACUGGAACUGAGACACGGUCCAGACUCCUACGGGAGGCAGCAGUGGGGAAUAUUGCACAAUGGAGGGAACUCUGAUGCAGCGACGCCGCGUGAGUGAUGAAGGAAUUCGUUUCGUAAAACUCUGUUCUAUGGGAAGAAAAGGACUGUACCAUAGGAGAAAGCUCCGGCUAAAUACGUG
RNAcentral lists this ribosomal RNA (480 nucleotides) under uncultured bacterium. RNAcentral's name for it is "partial 16S ribosomal RNA". It matches the Rfam family "Bacterial small subunit ribosomal RNA", at positions 28 to 507 of the family's 1533-position model. The record is from RNAcentral.